RNAcentral lists this long non-coding RNA (371 nucleotides) under Homo sapiens (human). RNAcentral describes it as "HSALNT0305108". The record is from RNAcentral. Lineage: Eukaryota; Metazoa; Chordata; Mammalia; Primates; Hominidae.
AAGAAGUAACACAGAGGGGCUCUAGAUACCCCUCAUCAAGAUUUCUCCAGUGGUAACAACUUGCAUAACUAUAGUUCAAUAUCACAAUAGGAAAUUGAGUUUGGUACAAUCCAUUGACAUUGUUCAGAUUUCAUCAGUCUUAUAUACACUUGCUAGUGUGUGUGCAUUUUGUUCUAUGCAAUUUUAUCUCAUGUAUACACUUGUGUGACCACCACCAAGUUACAGAACAGUUGUAUUAUAAGAAUACUUCCUAUUACUUUUUUUAGAACUUCAUCUUCCCUAAUCCCUGGCAACCACUAAUCUUUACAACCUUAUAAUUUUGUUAUUUGAACAAUAUUGAGCCACCACGCCUAGCCCUGUCUCUUUCUUCC